Molecule: ribosomal RNA, 486 nt
Filed under: uncultured bacterium
Lineage: Bacteria
Description: partial 16S ribosomal RNA
Rfam family: Bacterial small subunit ribosomal RNA
Source: RNAcentral
AUUGAACGCUGGCGACAUGCCUUACACAUGCAAGUCGAACGGCAGCACGGGUGCUUGCACCUGGUGGCGAGUGGCGAACGGGUGAGUAAUACCUCGGAACAUGUCCUGUAGUGGGGGAUAGCCCGGCGAAAGCCGGAUUAAUACCGCAUACGAUCUACGGAUGAAAGCGGGGGACCUUCGGGCCUCGCGCUAUAGGGUUGGCCGAUGGCUGAUUAGCUAGUUGGUGGGGUAAAGGCCUACCAAGGCGACGAUCAGUAGCUGGUCUGAGAGGACGACCAGUCACACUGGGACUGAGACACGGCCCAGACUCCUACGGGAGGCAGCAGUGGGGAAUUUUGGACAAUGGGCGAAAGCCUGAUCCAGCAAUGCCGCGUGUGUGAAGAAGGCCUUCGGGUUGUAAAGCACUUUUGUCCGGAAAGAAAUCCUUGGCCCUAAUACGGUCGGGGGAUGACGGUACCGGAAGAAUAAGCACCGGCUAACUACGUG